AAACCAGACUCCUACGGGAGGCAGCAGUGGUUUCUCUUGCACAAUUUGGUGAACCCUGCUGCAGCGACGCCGCGUGGGUGAAGGAGCGUUUCGGCGCGUACCGCCCUAUCGGCAGGGCAGAAGGAGGACGGUCCCUGACUAAGACGCCCCGGCUAACUACGUGCCAGCAGCCGCGGUAAUACGUAGGGGGCAAGCGUUAUCCGGAUUUACUGGGUGUAAAGGGGGCGCAGACGGCAGCGCAAGCCAGGAGUGAAAGCCCGGGGCCCAACCCCGGGACUGCUCUGGGAACUGCGCGGCUGGAGUGCAGGAGGGGCAGGCGGAAUUCCUGGUGGAGCGGUGAAAUGCGGAGAGAUCAGGAGGAACACCGGUGGCGAAGGCGGCCUGCUGGACGGCGACUGACGGGGAGGCCCGAAAGCGGGGGGAGCAAACAGGAGGAGAUACCCCCGUAUA
Molecule: ribosomal RNA, 450 nt
Filed under: uncultured bacterium
Lineage: Bacteria
Description: bacterial SSU rRNA
Rfam family: Bacterial small subunit ribosomal RNA
Source: RNAcentral